This 567-nucleotide long non-coding RNA is filed under the name Gallus gallus (chicken). Its description in RNAcentral is "long non-coding RNA NONGGAT003829". The record is from RNAcentral. Lineage: Eukaryota; Metazoa; Chordata; Aves; Galliformes; Phasianidae.
GAGUGAAUGGGGAAUGAGCAUAACACUUAGGGCUCCCAGUUCAGAUUACAGAAAUACAAUGGGGCUCUGUGGCACCUUUGAUGGAAAUGCAGAGAAUGACUAUCACACUGCCAAUGGGGUGGAAAUACCAAACAAUUCUGAUGCUCUUUUUUCUUUUAUAAAGGAAUGGAGAAUUCCACCAGGAGGUAGCUUGUUUGACAACACACCUGCUUCAUUACCAUCUUCUAGGAAAACGGACUUCUGUGACUGCACAUUUGAAGAUGCUGGAUUAGAUCCAUCAGUACAUAAACUAAAGGCAAUUUCUAAAUCGGAACUUCCCCUGUCUUGUAAAGACAGUGAAAAUGGUAGAUAUCUUUCUUUGAUACCAGGACUGGAAGUCACUGCUGAGUAUCUCAGUCCUGCUGAUCUUGUCAAAGGCUUAAACAAACGUUCAUCUGUACAUGAAAUGGAUUCCUCUACACUUCUGCGGAAGGGGGAUAACCAAACCAAACUUCACAAAUCAUCAUCAGUAAACAGACAUGUCUCUGAAAUCUCAGAAAUAAGUUUUGGAAUAGAAAAAGAAGGAAC